AGCGAACGCUGGCGGCAGGCUUAACACAUGCAAGUCGAGCGCCCCCCCAGUGUGGCGGCCGACGUGCGAGUGGCACGUGGGGACAUGCCUCUUGGUUCGGAGCAACUGAGGUAAACUUCGGCGAAUACCGAAUAAGCCCUUCCGUGGUACGAUUUAUCGCCGACAGAUUGGCCCACGUCGGCUUAGCUAGUUGGGGGGGUAACGGCUCACCAGGGCGACGAGCAGUAGGUGGUCUGAGAGGAUGAUCAGCCACACUGGCACUGAGGAACGGUCCAGACUCCUACGGGAGGCAGCAGUGGGGAAUAUUGGACGAUGGGGGCAAGCCUGAUCCAGCCAUACCGCGUGGGUGAAGAAGGCCUUCGGGUGGUAAAGCCCUUUUGUUGGGAAAGAAAAGCGGCAGGUUAAUACCCCGCUGUACUGACGGUACCCAAAGAAUAAGCACCGGCUAACUUCGUG
This 456-nucleotide ribosomal RNA is filed under the name uncultured bacterium. Its description in RNAcentral is "partial 16S ribosomal RNA". It matches the Rfam family "Bacterial small subunit ribosomal RNA", at positions 29 to 507 of the family's 1533-position model. The record is from RNAcentral.